UUUGGCAAUCUCAGCCAUCCAACGGCCGAAAGCCAACGAUACCCACGCUACCGACAGCCAUCCAUGACCAUAGUCCAUACAUAUCAUCAGGAGGCAUCUCUUAGCUCCAGACUUAACUUCUUUUUCUUUUGAUGUCCUCGAUUGUGAGUGAAAUCGGUCUGGGAAACCGUCAAGGCCUCCCGAUUAAUCAAAAAAUGCCUAAAGGAUGAGAUUUUUUGUUGCUCUAUCGCGUUCGCAACCUAAUCUCUCUCGCUGUUCUCCCUCUUUGAUAGAAGGUUUCCAGAUGUAAACAACACCGCCACAGCCCUCCAUCGAUUGAAGGUUUCUGUGCUCUCCCUCUCAAUUGAAGCAGGUUCUGCCGAAGUGAUGAACGAGUUUUGAGUCAUUGGAUGCUCCUUAUGAUGUCAGAGCACGUGAUGGUUUCCAAACAUUCUUAAAGAUGCACUUGUCAGUCUGACCCUUAAGCAAGAGAGGAGACUCGAUUGCUGUCUUUGAAGGAGGAAAGUCUACAAUAUGCUUACUAAAUUCAUACAACAAUGAUAGACGAGCUUCAUAUAGUAUAGACAUAUUGCAUACAGUGUUAGAUCAGUUGUUUAUGUACUAUUGCAUGAGUUGGUUGGAAACCGGUCUACAACUGCAUGGAACUUGUCUACUAUUUAUAUGGAGCGGUAUGCUUAAACGCCAUUGAGCAGAUAUGUGCACGUUGCAGGAAUAUGGGCCGGUAUAUCUACUCUGGGUCACACAUAGUUGUUCUCACAUUGGUCAAAAGAUCCAGAAUGGCAAGCCCGCCGGAUGGCUUUUACUCCUUUUGCAGGCGAAUUAGUGGAGGUCGGGCGUACAUGACAUUUGAGGCAUAUUUGUCACUACUUCCGCAGUACCAGGAUCAAGGAGCACCCCCAUGAAGCAGGAGAAAGAAACAACAAUCGUCUACUCGUCUACUCGUUUAGUUUUUAUUUUCUGUUGCCAAGUUAGAACCUAAGCCCAGUCUGAUUCAACCCUGAAAUAUUUUGUAUAUGUAGGUCAUAUGCAGUCUCUUCUCAGAAAUUCAGAAUAUGUACUUAUAAGACCCACUAUAUGUCUUGAAAUAUAUUGCAGAUCAAUCUAUCUCGUUAACGUAGAAUGAAGAAGUCAUCACUACAAAAUCCUUUCAAUUAA
This is a long non-coding RNA of Rosa chinensis, 1155 nucleotides long. RefSeq lists it as uncharacterized. The transcript has 5 exons. Lineage: Eukaryota; Viridiplantae; Streptophyta; Magnoliopsida; Rosales; Rosaceae. The record is from RefSeq and is a predicted model, not a curated record.